AAAUGAAGGACUCUCCUCUCUCACACACAACUAUAUCAAUGGCCACGCGUGCAAUGAGAAGACUCGUGGAAACCUAAUCAGCAACCGGCGGCACCGUCUUCCUCUCCAUCGGCGAAUGGCGGCGGCAGCAAUGUCUUCCUCAGCGGGCUCAUCGUCGGUGGGUUAACGUGAGUGGUAGACGAAUGUCCUCUGAUCAGAUGAUUAGUUGAAAGUUUUCAACUUCCUUUUGGUUGGAAGCAGAUACAGAAAAUAUAUUAGUUUGGGUGCCCUUGAUUCGAGGUAGAAGAGGAAGCUGAACAUAGAGCAGGCAGCAAUAAGACUACUUUUUCUUGUAUUUUUCUGCAAACAGUACGUGAUACUGCUUCAAAAGAUCAUGUUUUCGGUGCAAAAGAGGCUCUUUCGCUGUCGUCUACCAAGUAACAAGUCCACUAUCCAUCUUUCCUCCCAUCAACUUUGCAAUCUGUUUAACUUCUCCACUGCUAAAGACCAAAGUUCAGAGCAUAGUUCCAACUUUAUAGUGGUCGGCUCCCUUCAUUCAUGUGAACUUUCCUCAGAGAAGGCUGCAAAAAAAGCCAAGUAUCACACCUGUCACAAAAAUUCUUCGAGUCUUUCCAUUGAGUUCUUUAAGCAGAGCGGUUGGAGUGAUGCACAAGUCAUGAAACUUAUCCAGAGGUCACCGCUGUUGCUGCGUACUAAGGUAGAAACUGUCCUGAAGCCCAGAAUGAGAUCUUUGAAGGACAUGGGAUUUUCUGACACUGAAAUAGUUCAGCUGGUUUCUUCAUGCCCAUCUGUACUACUUAUACGUGAUAUCCAACCAAAGAUCAACUUCUGGAGGUCACUACUUGGUUCUAAUGAGAGGGUACUGAAAGCCUCUAGGAGGAACUUGUUUCUACUUACUUCUAGCUUGGCUCGGAAGAUAGAACCUAAUAUAUCUCUCUUAAGGGAAUGUGGCAUCAGUGACAAUCGCAUCGCUUGUAUGGUGGUGACAAAGCCGACCAUUAUGGGUCGAUCAAACAAAUAUAUAAAGGAAGCUAUCAAAUAUGUUGAGGAGUUGGGUGUGCCACGUAACUGUGGAAUGUUCCCUUAUGCACUUAGUAUAGUCACUGGCAUGAGCCGAUCCAAGUUUGAUGAUACCUUUGCAACCCUGAUGAACUUUGGGUUCUCCCUGCAAGACAUCAUUGCUGUAUUCAGGAAGCAUCCAACCAUUUGGUUUUUGUCAAAGAAGAACAUAUGUGACAAGAUGACUUUCCUGAUGAAGGAAGCUGGUUGUGAGCUGACAUAUAUCAUUUCCCAUCCUGCAAUUCUUGCAUACAGCUUGGAGAAGAGGUUGAAACCUCGAUAUGAAAUUCUGAAUAUUCUUGAGCAGAAUAAAUUGCUGGAUAAAGUAUAUGGCCUGCUACCCAUGAUAUUGCUAUCUGAAAAGAAGUUCCAAAAUAAAUUUCUUUUCCUGCUUUGCGAGGAGAAAUAUAUUGCUCUAUAUGAUUCCUAUGUUGCUGCUGUGCAUGGAAAGCACCAUGUUGUUGUGGAAAAUUAGGAUUGCCAGUGCUUCCUUAGACAAAGUGUGAACCUAUUGCAUACUGACUGUAUUAUUUAAUCAUGUAAAAUUUGUGACGAUUUAAAUUUCUCUAAGAGGAGCUUCGUACAGUAGAACGUCUAUGUUGAUUUUGAGAUUUCUUUUCUUUUGAUUUUUCGGUUCAACAAAAGAUACUGAUUCUUUAAUGCAUAAAUAUAGAGAACCAAGUGGGAGAAGUCAUUGUUUAAGAAAGAAACAAAGGUAACUAAAAUAUUUCAGUUCUGUCAGUUGGUCAGUGUCCACUUCAUUGAGAGCUAGUUACUUAGGAGAGUAUGAUUUGAAGAUAUCCUCCAACCCUUAUAAAUAUGCAUGAGAUCACACAUUAAGAAUUUAAGAGCCAUCGGCCCAACUCAAGCUUGCUUCUUAAUGUUCAAUUAAAUGCAAAAAGCAAUAUAUAUGGUUUAAGGUAACAACACUCUCUCGAGUGAAGUGAACGGGUCUCGGCGCCCACCUGAUUCAAAUCAGAGAGGACUAUAUUCGAUCUGAGCCCAACAUAAGUCACUGGAUCUGGUUCGAUGGAACCAAAUGAAGGACUCUCCUCUCUCACACACAACUAUAUCAAUGGCCACGCGUGCAAUGAGAAGACUCGUGGAAACCUAAUCAGCCACCGGCGGCACCGUCUUCCUCUCCAUCGGCGACUGGCGGCGGCAGCAAUGUCUUCCUCAGCGGGCUCAUCGUCGGUGGGUUAACGUGAGUGGUAGACGAAUGUCCUCUGAUCAGAUGAUUAGUUGAAAGUUUUCAACUUCCUUUUGGUUGUAAGCAGAUACAGAAAAUAUAUUAGUUUGGGUGCCCCUGAUUUGAGGUAGAAGAGGAAGCUGAACAUAGAGCAGGCAGCAAUAAGACUACUUUUCUUGUAUUUUUCUGCAAACAGUACGUGAUACUGCUUCAAAAGAUCAUGUUUUUGGUGCAAAAGAGGCUCUUUCGCUGUCUCCCAAGUAACAAGUCCACUAUCCAUCUUUCCUCCCAUCAACUUUGCAGUCUGUUUAACUUCUCCACUGCUAAAGACCAAAGUUCAGAGCAUAGUUCCAACUUUAUUGUGGUCGACUCCCUUCAUUCGUGUGAACUUUCCUCAGAGAAGGCUGCAAAAAAAGCCAAGUAUCACACCUGUCACAAAAAUUCUUCGAGUCUUACCAUUGAGUUCUUUAAGCAGAGCGGUUGGAGUGAUGCACAAGUCAUGAAACUUAUCCAGAAGUCACCGCGGUUGCUGCGUACUAAGGUAGAAACUGUCCUGAAGCCCAGAAUGAGAUCUUUGAAGGACAUGGGAUUUUCUGACACUGAAAUAGUUCAGCUAGUUUCAUCAUGUCCAUCUGUACUAAUACGUGAUAUCCAACCGAAGAUCAACUUCUGGAGGUCACUACUUGGUUCUAAUGAGAGGUUACUGAAAGCCUCUAGGAGGAACAUGUUUCUACUUACUUCUAGCUUGGCUCGGAAGAUAGAACCUAAUAUAUCUCUCUUAAGGGAAUGUGGCAUCAGUGACAAACGCAUCGCGUAUAUGGUGGUGACAAAGCCGACCAUUAUUGGUCGAUCAAACAAAUAUAUAAAGGAAGCUAUCAAAUAUGUUGAGGAGUUGGGUGUGCCAUGUAACUGUAGAAUGUUCCCUUAUGCACUUAGUAUAGUCACUGGCAUGAGCCGAUCCAGGUUUGAUGAUACCUUUGCAACCCUGAUGAACUUUGGGUUAUCCCGGCAAGACGUCAUUGCUGUAUUCAGGAAGCAUCCAACCAUUUGGGUUUUGUCAAAGAAGAACAUAUGUGACAAGAUGACAUUCCUGAUGAAGGAAGCUGGUUGUGAGCUGACAUAUAUCGUUUCCCAUCCUGUGUUUCUUGCAUGCAGCUUGGAGAAGAGGUUGAAACCUCGAUAUGAAAUUCUGAAUUUUCUUGAGCAGAAUAAAUUGCUGGAUAAAGUAUAUGGCCUGCUGUCCCUGAUAACGUUAUCUGAAAAGAAGUUCCGUAAGAAAUUUCUUUUCCUGCUUCGUGAGGAGAAAUCUAUUGCUCUGUAUGAUUCCUAUUUGAAAUCUGUUGCUCUAUAGGAUUCCUAUGUUGCUGCUGGGCAUGGAAAGCACCAUGUUGUUUGGGAAAAUUAGGAUUGCAUGUGCUUCCUCAGACAAAGUGUGAACUUAUUGCGCACUUAUUUAAUCAUGUUAAAUUUGUGACAAUUUAAAUUCUCCAAGGAGCUUCUUUUCUUU
Musa acuminata AAA Group (dessert banana) is the source of this 3755-nucleotide long non-coding RNA. RefSeq lists it as uncharacterized. The record is from RefSeq and is a predicted model, not a curated record. NCBI's taxonomy places the organism in Eukaryota, Viridiplantae, Streptophyta, Magnoliopsida, Zingiberales, Musaceae. The transcript is spliced from 3 exons.